Molecule: transfer RNA, 69 nt
Filed under: Puncturella cf. parvinobilis
Lineage: Eukaryota; Metazoa; Mollusca; Gastropoda; Lepetellida; Fissurellidae
Description: tRNA-Val
Source: RNAcentral
UAGGGCAUAGCAUAAUUUAAAUGUUUUUCGCUUACGUUGAAGAGAUGGCCCUGUGGGGGCCUGCCCUAA